RNAcentral lists this non-coding RNA (95 nucleotides) under uncultured Chlamydomonas. Lineage: Eukaryota; Viridiplantae; Chlorophyta; Chlorophyceae; Chlamydomonadales; Chlamydomonadaceae. The record is from RNAcentral.
ACAAAACAGAAAGAAAAACGGAAAAAAUAAGACGAGGCAAGAAAGGAAUCAAUGAUCACAGCGUUGGUAUGGCAUUGUCUGAGGUUUCUCUGUAG